AGUGAACGCUGGCGGUAGGCCUAACACAUGCAAGUCGAACGGCAGCACAGUAAGAGCUUGCUCUUACGGGUGGCGAGUGGUGGCCGGGUGAGGAAUACAUCGGAAUCUACUUUUUCGUGGGGGAUCACGUAGGGAAACUUACGCUAAUACCGCAUACGACCUACGGGUGAAAGCAGGGGAUCUUCGGACCUUGCGCGUUUGAAUGAGCCGCUGUCGGAUUAGCUAGUUGGCGGGGUAAAGGCCCACCAAGGCGACGAUCCGUAGCUGGUCUGAGAGGAUGAUCAGACAAACUGGAACUGAGACACGGUCCAGACUCCUACGGGAGGCAGCAGUGGGGAAUAUUGGACAAUGGGCGCAAGCCUGAUCCAGCCAUACCGCGUGGGUGAAGAAGGCCUUCGGGUUGUAAAGCCCUUUUGUUGGGAAAGAAAAGCAGCAGGUUAAUACCCCGCUGUUCUGACGGUACCCAAAGAAUAAGCACCGGCUAACUUCGUG
Molecule: ribosomal RNA, 492 nt
Filed under: uncultured bacterium
Lineage: Bacteria
Description: partial 16S ribosomal RNA
Rfam family: Bacterial small subunit ribosomal RNA
Source: RNAcentral